Molecule: RNA transcript, 1268 nt
Organism: Populus trichocarpa (black cottonwood)
Lineage: Eukaryota; Viridiplantae; Streptophyta; Magnoliopsida; Malpighiales; Salicaceae
Gene name: ribosome biogenesis protein BRX1 homolog 1
Exons: 9
Source: RefSeq, a predicted model, not a curated record
CCCUUCUACUUCUCUAGGUUUUUGUCAGGGUUUUGCUCAUCUCUUACAAAAACUUGUUCCCUCAGUCUGCAGCUCUCUUCCUCCUCUUCAGGUGUCAUCUGUACGUAAACAAACACUGCCAUGGGAAAGAAGAGAAAGCAUAGUGAGACACAGGUCAUUGAACCUGCAAAGAAAGAUGAAAGUGAAACAGAGAGACCUAAAAGGACGCUCUUGGGUUGGAAAGAUAAACCUGAAGAGAAAGAGACUGAAUCCCUACCUCCUCAUCAGGGUGGUUUUAGAAAUAAAGAGAAAGUCUUGGUUACUUGUUCGAGGCGUAUUAAUUACAGGUAUAGGCACUUGAUGUUGAAUCUGGUGUCACUUUUGCCACAUUGUAAGAAGGAUAGUAAGGUUGAGUCUACAAGUAGUAAAGGCGCAACGUUGAAUGAGCUUGUUGAGUUGAAGAAUUGUUCUUCUUCUUUGUUCUUUGAGUGCCGGAAACAUAAAGAUUUGUACCUGUGGAUGGUCAAGUGCCCCAGUGGUCCGUCUGUGAAAUUCUUAGUCAAUGCUGUGCACACAAUGGAAGAAUUGAAGCUUACAGGAAAUCAUCUGAAAGGGUCUCGACCUCUCUUGACUUUCUCAGCUAACUUUGAUAAAGAUGCUCACUGGAAACUCCUGAAGGAGAUGAUCAUUCAGAUAUUUGGAAUCCCAAAGGAUCACAGGAAAUCUAAGCCUUUUUAUGACCAUGUCUUUGUUUUCUCUAUUGUUGAUGACCAUAUAUGGUUUCGGAAUUACCAGAUAUCUGUUCCUCAUAAUGAAACAGAUAAAAUGGCUCGAGGAGGCCUGGAUAAGAUGACCCUUGUUGAGGUUGGUCCAAGAUUUUGCCUGAACCCUAUCAAGAUUUUUGGUGGCAGCUUUGGAGGCCCAACAUUGUAUGAAAAUCCGUUUUUUAUAUCACCUAACCAGGUCAGCGAAUUAUCUACAUGUUUAGUUUGAGUUUUGGCAUCACAAGUAUGAUUAGCUUCUCUUUAGUUAGUCAAGAGUUCCUCCUUUAAUGAUCUAUAAUUCGAGCAUUGGAGAAAAAGCAGAAGGCUGGGAAGUUUGCCAAGAAGGUCAAGGCCAAGACGAGGAGGAAGAUGCACGAGCUAUCAAAUCCAUUGGAGCCUGAUGAAUUUGCAGACAUGUGGAAGGAAUGAUGCGCUUCUCGUACCUACGCUGUUGAUGAUCUUAUAUCACCUUGUAUUCUUAAAGAAAAAUUUCUCAUUUUGGUGCUGUUGCCUUCAUUGGCAUAA